UUCAACUUGAUUCGAUUUUUUCAUUCCGCCUCCUCCCUUCUCUCAGACUCCCUCUCACACUGCCUCUCUCAAUCACUUUUGCCUCUCUCUUCCAGAUUUAUCACUCGAUCUCUCUCAGUCACUCUCUCUGUCUCAGCCGCUCUCUCUCAGUCACUCACUCUCUCUCUCUUACCGCGCUCUCUGUCAGCCACUGUCUCUCAAUCACUCACGCUCUCUCUUAAACACUCACUCUCGUCUCCCUCAACCGGUUUCUCUCUCUCUCUCUCUCUCUCAGCCGAUUUUUCUCACCCGCUCUCUCUCUUUCCAGAUUUUUCUCACCCGAUCUCUCAGUCACUCAGUCUCUCUGUGUUUCUCUCACCCGUUCUUUCUGAGUCUCUCUCGCUCUCUCUCAGUUUGAGAAUUGAUUUUGAGAUCAUAGGAAACGAUUGGCUUGCUGUAGAGGUGCAAAUUUAUUUGAGGAAUAUGAAACUCAUGGAAUUGUAUGUGUAUGUGUAAUGGAAAUUUAUUUGUUGUCAUUUGGAUUUUCUUUUGAACUUUGCAAAAAUGCAGAUUGUGAUUGAGAUUACUCUCACAAUCUGCUAUGGUCUGUAAUAAUUAUUGGAUUAUUUGGACAUGUGUGGUGGAUGAUGAUUUUCUUAGGUUUUAAGGGUGGUUUUAGUAUUUGAAUGA
This is a non-coding RNA of Prunus avium (sweet cherry), 669 nucleotides long. NCBI's taxonomy places the organism in Eukaryota, Viridiplantae, Streptophyta, Magnoliopsida, Rosales, Rosaceae. The record is from RefSeq and is a predicted model, not a curated record.